This 988-nucleotide non-coding RNA is filed under the name Anarhynchus alexandrinus (Kentish plover). RNAcentral describes it as "Charadrius alexandrinus 12S ribosomal RNA". It matches the Rfam family "Bacterial small subunit ribosomal RNA". The record is from RNAcentral. Lineage: Eukaryota; Metazoa; Chordata; Aves; Charadriiformes; Charadriidae.
AAAAGACUUAGUCCUAACCUUACCGUUAAUUCUCGCUAAACAUAUACAUGCAAGUAUCCGCACACCAGUGUAAAUGCCCUUAACAUCUUAACAAGAUAAAAGGAGCAGGCAUCAGGCACACACCAGUAGCCCAAGACGCCUUGCUUAGCCACACCCCCACGGGUAUUCAGCAGUAAUUAACAUUAAGCAAUAAGUGUAAACUUGACUUAGUUAUAGCGACUAUAACUUAGGGUUGGUAAAUCUUGUGCCAGCCACCGCGGUCAUACAAGAAGCCCAAAUUAACCGUACGCGGCGUAAAGCGUGGUGUCAUGCUAUCGCGGAAGCUAAGAUCAAAGUGCAACUGAGCUGUCAUAAGCACAAGAUGCACCUAAAACCACCCUUAAGACGAUCUCAGCACUCCCUCCAACGACCCAUUAAACUCCACGAAAGCUAAGGCCCAAACUGGGAUUAGAUACCCCACUAUGCUUAGCCCUAAAUCCUGAUGCUUACUCAACUAAAGCAUCCGCCCGAGAACUACGAGCACAAACGCUUAAAACUCUAAGGACUUGGCGGUGCCCCAAACCCACCUAGAGGAGCCUGUUCUAUAAUCGAUAACCCACGAUACACCCGACCACUCCUUGCUAAGGCAGCCUAUAUACCGCCGUCGCCAGCUCACCUCCCCUGAAAGUACAACAGUGAGCAUAAUAGCCUAUUGAGCCCGCUAAUAAGACAGGUCGAGGUAUAGCCCAUGAAGUGGAAGAAAUGGGCUACAUUUUCUAACAUAGAAAACCCACGGAAGGGGGGUAUGAAACAACCCCCAGAAGGCGGAUUUAGCAGUAAAGUGAGACAAUAGAGCUCGCUUUAAGUCGGCCCUGAGGCACGUACAUACCGCCCGUCACCCUCCUCACAAGCUAUAGACCCCCCCCCCAAAUAAUUCAAUACGCAACCUAGCUAAAGAUGAGGUAAGUCGUAACAAGGUAAGUGUACCGGAAGGUGCACUUAGCAUAUC